RNAcentral lists this ribosomal RNA (352 nucleotides) under uncultured Anoxybacillus sp. RNAcentral describes it as "bacterial SSU rRNA". It matches the Rfam family "Bacterial small subunit ribosomal RNA", at positions 1029 to 1382 of the family's 1533-position model. Lineage: Bacteria; Bacillati; Bacillota; Bacilli; Caryophanales; Anoxybacillaceae. The record is from RNAcentral.
GGGUGACAGGUGGUGGCAUGGUUGUCGUCAGCUCGUGUCGUGAGAUGUUGGGUUAAGUCCCGCAACGAGCGCAACCCUCGACCUAGUUGCCAGCAUUCAGUUGGGCACUCUAAGGUGACUGCCGGCUAAAAGUCGGAGGAAGGUGGGGAUGACGUCAAAUCAUCAUGCCCCUUAUGACCUGGGCUACACACGUGCUACAAUGGGCGGUACAAAGGGUCGCGAACCCGCGAGGGGGAGCCAAUCCCAAAAAGCCGCUCUCAGUUCGGAUUGCAGGCUGCAACUCGCCUGCAUGAAGCCGGAAUCGCUAGUAAUCGCGGAUCAGCAUGCCGCGGUGAAUACGUUCCCGGGCCUU